Non-coding RNA from Punica granatum (pomegranate), 2308 nucleotides. The record is from RefSeq and is a predicted model, not a curated record. Lineage: Eukaryota; Viridiplantae; Streptophyta; Magnoliopsida; Myrtales; Lythraceae.
AUUAAAAAAGAAAAAUCGAAUUUUUAAUUUUCUCUAUCCAAUUCCAACGACUUGGGUGUCAAGCGAUUUCAUCAUCAUCAUCUUCAUCUUCGUGUUGCACUGAGCAUUUCGAGCAAUGCAUUGCCAUGGGCACGAGAUUUCUCUGUCUCUGCGUCUCUUACGCGUCUCUGUUUCAGCAGCAGAAGUCAAAACGUUGGUGAAUUUUUUGCCAGUUCCGUUGUUAUGGCACAUAAACGUUUUCUUUCUUGUCUGGUCAUAUAUAUACAUAUGAUAUGAUGUGUCAUCAUUAAUAACAAUAUUAUUAUAUUUAUAUGUUUCUCCUUCUUCUUUGGUCGGAGUUACGUUCUGCGGGCAAUGGGACACUCGUUAUGUUUCAGUGAAUUGAACGUGGGUGAUGGAAUUCGAUGUGUACCAUGUCGUGGCUCUGCAAUUUUAGACAAAGUUUCCGUGCGGAUCGUAAUCGACAAGUUCAUGUUGAUCUGGAGAAAGGGGCGGGAUGUUGAUUUCGCAGCCAUUGGCAGGGGAAGUCGAACGGGUUUGUCGAUAUCCUUCCUCAGAAGGAGAGUUGUGAGCCGGAAGGACGAGCCAAGGUCGAGGAUGAUUUCUACUAUAGUUUACGGAGGACAAGAUCGACGGAAAUAAGCGCUGCGAACCAUGCAUGCCGGAGAGGGGUUGCCGGGCCGUGUUGGAUUCGUUGCGUAAAGUCUUGGAAUGUGCCGAUCAAUCUCUUACGAGGGGGAGCAGCCGUUAAUUUACUUUUCGUGAUGUCAAAAGUUUAUACAAUUUGGUUUUGUGUCCAUAAAAAAUCCGAAUUUUUUUUAAUCAUGCAUAAUUCGACUGCAGCUAAUCUACAGAUUGCUUAAUGGGUCAUCCGUAUCUGCGUUUGAUGAUAUGAUUUUGCUCAAUACAUUUAUACAUAUAUUUAUUAUUAUAGUUUGUAUUUUUGGAACAGAGAUGGGAAGUUUUAAGGUUUUCCAAUGUCUUCCUUCCGACAUGGUGUAUGUGCUCUCUCUGCCUCGUUUCUGUCUCCGUCUCUGUUUCUGCUUCUAUACCGUGUUUCCUUGAUUUGCACAGAAGGUGGGUUGGAAGGAGGUGUGCGGCCAAAGAUAGCCGUCGAAGAGCUCCGUCGUGUCGAUGUGAAGGUUUCUCGCUUCUUGCGGGAUUUCGGAUCCAGCACCGGAGUUCCAUCGUUGGAAGUGGGUAAGGAAAUUGCUGGUGGGAUCGCCUGUUUGGUUGUUGAAGUUGCCAUCUGUACUUCCAUGGCAGCACCUCGGACUUGGUCAAUCUUCCGGUGGAGCUCUUCGUUGGUAGACCCGACAGUCGGGGUUCGAUCUUCCAGAGGGUCUAUGAAACCGGGCAGUCGAGAAUUUGAGCGAAUUGAAUUCGACCGUUCACUGGUCGGAAAUCGGGGCCUAGAUGUGGUAUGUUUGAUGAUAAGAGGGCAUGAGCUUUCUUUAGUGGGGACCAAGAAUGGUGGUUCCACCACAUAAAUCUUCCCUCAGCUUCACGCAGUUCACAGGAACUGAAUGAGGCCUUCGCCUUUUCGGUUCGGAGGCUGAAGAGGUCUGAAUCUGAAUACAUCCUUUAAUACCUGGGGAAGAAACGUAACGUAUGGCUACAGCUUAUGAGGGCACCCAUACCGGAUGGAAUGCCGUGGAGCGGAGCAGAUACUUGUAGCCGUUAAACAGUUUGAAUGCUAUAAACUUUUUUCGCUAUCUCGGGCCGAGUCCGAGGUCUCGGUUCUCUCUCGAUGACUAGAGGUAAAGCUAUUGUGGGGCGGAAGGCGGACGGGGCUAAGUCAACUACGUCGGGGUUGUCAUCAGUCAACAGUUCUUGGAAGUCGAUAUUAAAGGAGUCGUCGAAAGCAGUCAUGGACAUUUUAUUGGUGUCCGAAUCUCUCUAAUUCUCGAUGACAUGCAUCAGCUAUGGACGGCAAGGCUUCUGUUUGACAAACCGGGAAUGGAGUAUGCAGUUCACGAGUUCAAUUUGAUGAUCAGAUCAUUGAGACACUCGGGAAAGAUCAGGCAGCAAAGAUCUGUAGUUUAUAGGGUCCGAGAGAAGACCACGUCAAGCAUAGUAUUCUCCCGGAUUGUCGUGCAUCAAGGACCAGGAUGCUCGAUAUGAAACCAGGCAGUCUGUAAGAACAUUAACGCAGCCAUCAGAUGCCAUGGCGGUACGCAUCAUACAUGGGCCAAUGUUAUUUUCAUAAGAAGAUUUGCUUCGACAUAUUAUUCUCAUAACCGGGUAGACCAUACACGAACCUGUACAUAUCAGCGGCCAUCAAUGCCAUUAUUUGACACACUAUACA